UUCCCAGACUCCUACGGGAGGCAGCAGUCGGGAAUAUUGCGCAAUGGAGGAAACUCUGACGCAGUGACGCCGCGUAUAGGACGAAGGUCUUCGGGUUGUAAACUAUUGUCGUUGGGGAAGAGAAAGGACAGUACCUAAGGAGGAAGCUCCGGCUAACUACGUGCCAGCAGCCGCGGUAAUACGUAGGGGGCAAGCGUUAUCCAGAUUUACUGGGUGUAAAGGGAGCGUAGACGGCAUGGCAAGUCAGAUGUGAAAGCCCGGGGCUCAACCCCGGGACUGCAUUUGAAACUGUCAGGCUGGAGUGCAGGAGAGGUAAGUGGAAUUCCUAGUGUAGCGGUGAAAUGCGUAGAUAUUAGGAGGAACACCAGUGGCGAAGGCGGCUUACUGGACUGUAACUGACGUUGAGGCUCGAAAGCGUGGGGAGCAAACAGGAUUAGAUACCCCAGUAAG
This 450-nucleotide ribosomal RNA is filed under the name uncultured bacterium. RNAcentral's name for it is "bacterial SSU rRNA". It matches the Rfam family "Bacterial small subunit ribosomal RNA", at positions 328 to 793 of the family's 1533-position model. The record is from RNAcentral.